GAUGAACGCUGGCGGCGUGCCUAAUACAUGCAAGUCGAGCGAACAGACGAGGAGCUUGCUCCUCUGACGUUAGCGGCGGACGGGUGAGUAACACGUGGAUAACCUACCUAUAAGACUAGGAUAACUUCGGGAAACCGGAGCUAAUACCGGAUAAUAUAUUGAACCGCAUGGUUCAAUAGUGAAAGACGGUUUUGCUGUCACUUAUAGAUGGAUCCGCGCCGCAUUAGCUAGUUGGUAAGGUAACGGCUUACCAAGGCAACGAUGCGUAGCCGACCUGAGAGGGUGAUCGGCCACACUGGAACUGGGACACGGUCCAGACUCCUACGGGAGGCAGCAGUAGGGAAUCUUCCGCAAUGGGCGAAAGCUUGACGGAGCAACGCCGCGUGAGUGAUGAAGGUCUUCGGAUCGUAAAACUCUGUUAUUAGGGAAGAACAAAUGUGUAAGUAACUAUGCACGUCUUGACGGUACCUAAUCAGAAAGCCACGGCUAACUACGUG
RNAcentral lists this ribosomal RNA (497 nucleotides) under uncultured bacterium. Its description in RNAcentral is "partial 16S ribosomal RNA". It matches the Rfam family "Bacterial small subunit ribosomal RNA", at positions 28 to 507 of the family's 1533-position model. The record is from RNAcentral.